This 70-nucleotide small nucleolar RNA is filed under the name Drosophila willistoni. RNAcentral's name for it is "snoRNA:GK26517". The record is from RNAcentral. Lineage: Eukaryota; Metazoa; Arthropoda; Insecta; Diptera; Drosophilidae.
UGAUGAACACACUUUUAAAGCCAAACAGUUAUCCCUGUCAUAAGAAUAAUUGAUGAUAAAACAAACUGAC